UUAACCAUAGAACUUGUGGAGUUUAUGUGAGAUUUUCAUUUUGUUUGGUUUGGUUUUCAAGCAAAAACACAGAUCCAUGUUGCUUCCCUCAAAAGCAUUCCCCAAUUUUACCUGUAAGCUUGUCUAACCUACUGCUUAUUGAACUCCUUUACCUUAGAACAUUUGAAGAAAUUUGCUUUCUAAUGUUUCAAACAGACCUUGUAUUGUGUUGGGGUUUUUCUGUUUGGGUUUUUUGGUGUUUUGUUUUUUUUUUCCUAAUUUUUAUUUUAUUCUUAUCAAGAAAAAGCUUCCCCAGCCACAGUAUUUGUUCAAAAACCCAAAUUUGAUAUUCAGGUUCACUGGAGGAAUGAGGAAUGCCUUAACAAGUACUGGAAAGCUGUACACUGAACAAAACUAAUACUCAAGGGCAGUAAGGGCCAUUGAAGCAGGUUUGUGAGAUUCAAAGACCUCCUCAGCUGCUGAGCCUGAUCCAAAGGUCACUGAAAGUCAACAAAUGGCCAUUUAUGGUGUCAAAAGUGAUUUUGAAAUGUACCUCCCAGAGCAUCUGGAGAUGUUGGUUUGAUUACGUAACACACUGACUCCUGCUCUUUGGUACACAAGAUGAAUGCUAAAAUUUUUUUCUGUUUUAAGAUAAAAAAUCCUUCUGCCUGUCUCUCCAAUGCCUUGUGUAUCUCAAGAGCUAGAAUUUUGUGCAAUUCUAUGUAAACUGUAUUUGAAAGUACUUGAUAGCUCCACCACUUGUAGUCGCAGCAUAUACCAUAUCCAGACCAAUGUGCUGACCACCCUUAAAUCUGUGACCAGGUUUCCAAGCAAACUACUUAGCCUGAAGUAACAGACUGGAAGUUCCAGUUAAUCUGUACAUGGUGGGAUGGGCAAGGAAUGUUCCAGUAUGAAGCAGCACUACCCUAACAGGAAUGGAAAGGAUGUAUUUUAAGAAGGGCAGUCUUCAAACAACAAGUUUUCAGAAGAUUAUCUGUAUUAAAAUAAGACUUGUAAAACACAGCAAAGAGAUAAGGAGGAUAGAAAUACUUUGCACAUUUUAAAGACAUCAGCUGCAGAAGAGUGAAGGAUUGACAACUGCUCAGAUAUUGGUUAAUAUGAGAUAGCCCACAGUCAAAAGUACUGCUGUAAAAUCAAACAUCUCAUUUCAUAAUCUCUAUUUUGCAGCAGAGUAUAACAGAAGAAUGUUUAUAAAAGACAAUCAAGGACAACUUUCAUGCCCUGAAGAUAUUACCAAGUAUUUCAAACAAAAAAAAUCAUAUUAUCCAAGUGACAGGUACAAUUUCAGUAGAGAAUGAAGGACUGUGUUAAGUACACUUGGAUUUAGGGAACUGACAUUUUACUAAGCAAACACCUUAUUUUUUCUCAUAUGAAUUUUUUUUUUUUUACAAUCUUUUUUCCAGUCUUAUGAAGGACAAUGUUUUAGAUGUGUACAGGUAUUGCAAAAUUAAAUAAAGGAGACCUUAUUCGCUGAAACCAAUAUGUAUAAAUAAUGUAGUAUUUCUAUAGAUGCUUCAGGAAUGAUAACAGUAGGCCUUUUACAAUGCUGAGAUGUCUCUUUGAACUUGCUACUAUAAUCACUGUGUACAUAACUUAAUAGUAUAACAGCAAUACUUUAUCUUCAGAGCACUUGCAUCCUGAUAUGUGAAAUGGUAGGGUUGGAUCAUAAACAGCAGUUGAAAAAGUUACAAAGCUAUUUAUUGACUAUAUAAAGAACUUUGUUUCUUAUUUUAGGAAGGCUGUUUUGCCUUAACUCAGUACUAGACACUUUAAAUAAACAAAAUACAUAUUUAAAAAAAAAAACAAACAA
Molecule: long non-coding RNA, 1810 nt
Organism: Pezoporus occidentalis (night parrot)
Lineage: Eukaryota; Metazoa; Chordata; Aves; Psittaciformes; Psittacidae
Exons: 3
Source: RefSeq, a predicted model, not a curated record